AGUAGGGAAUCUUCCGCAAUGGACGAAAGUCUGACGGAGCAACGCCGCGUGAACGAUGAAGGCCUUCGGGUCGUAAAGUUCUGUUGUUAGGGAAGAACAAGUACCGGAGUAACUGCCGGUACCUUGACGGUACCUAACCAGAAAGCCACGGCUAACUACGUGCCAGCAGCCGCGGUAAUACGUAGGUGGCAAGCGUUGUCCGGAAUUAUUGGGCGUAAAGCGCGCGCAGGCGGUCCUUUAAGUCUGAUGUGAAAGCCCACGGCUCAACCGUGGAGGGUCAUUGGAAACUGGGGGACUUGAGUACAGAAGAGGAAAGUGGAAUUCCACGUGUAGCGGUGAAAUGCGUAGAGAUGUGGAGGAACACCAGUGGCGAAGGCGACUUUCUGGUCUGUAACUGACGCUGAGGCGCGAAAGCGUGGGGAGCAAACAGGAUUAGAUACCCUGGUAGUCCACGCCGUAAACGAUGAGUGCUAAGUGUUAGAGGGUUUCCGCCCUUUAGUGCUGCAGCUAACGCAUUAAGCACUCCGCCUGGGGA
Molecule: ribosomal RNA, 535 nt
Filed under: denitrifying bacterium U(L)
Lineage: Bacteria
Description: bacterial SSU rRNA
Rfam family: Bacterial small subunit ribosomal RNA
Source: RNAcentral